CCUACGGGUGGCAGCAGUGAGGAAUAUUGGUCAAUGGACGAGAGUCUGGACCAGCCAAGCAGCGUGAAGGAUGACUGACCUAUGGGUUGUAAACUUCUUUUAUAUGGGAAUAAAAUGUUCCACGUGUGGGUUUUUGUAUGUACCAUAUGAAUAAGGAUCGGCUAACUCCGUGCCAGCAGCCGCGGUAAUACGGAGGAUCCGAGCGUUAUCAGGGUUUAUUGGGUGUAAAGGGAGCGUAGGUGGAGUGUUAAGUCAGUUGUGAAAGUUUGGGGCUCAACCGUAAAAUUGCAGUUGAAACUGGCAGUCGUGAGUACAGUAGAGGUGGGCGGAAUUCGUGGUGUAGCGGUGAAAUGCUUAGAUAUCACGAAGAACUCCGAUUGCGAAGGCAGCUCACUGGACUGCAACUGACACUGAGGCUCGAAAGUGUGGGUAGCAAACAGGAUUAGAUACCCUAGUAGUC
This 460-nucleotide ribosomal RNA is filed under the name uncultured bacterium. RNAcentral describes it as "partial 16S ribosomal RNA". It matches the Rfam family "Bacterial small subunit ribosomal RNA", at positions 338 to 795 of the family's 1533-position model. The record is from RNAcentral.